This 542-nucleotide ribosomal RNA is filed under the name uncultured bacterium. RNAcentral describes it as "bacterial SSU rRNA". It matches the Rfam family "Bacterial small subunit ribosomal RNA", at positions 777 to 1314 of the family's 1533-position model. The record is from RNAcentral.
AAUAGAUACCCGGGUAGUCCACGCCGUAAACGAUGAGUGCUAAGUGUUAGGGGGUUUCCGCCCCUUAGUGCUGCAGCUAACGCAUUAAGCACUCCGCCUGGGGAGUACGGCCGCAAGGCUGAAACUCAAAGGAAUUGACGGGGGGCCCGCACAAGCGGUGGAGCAUGUGGUUUAAUUCGAAGCAACGCGAAGAACCUUACCAGGUCUUGACAUCCUCUGACAACCCUAGAGAUAGGGCGUUCCCCUUCGGGGGACAGAGUGACAGGUGGUGCAUGGUUGUCGUCAGCUCGUGUCGUGAGAUGUUGGGUUAAGUCCCGCAACGAGCGCAACCCUUGAUCUUAGUUGCCAGCAUUUUAGUUGGGCACUCUAAGGUGACUGCCGGUGACAAACCGGAGGAAGGUGGGGAUGACGUCAAAUCAUCAUGCCCCUUAUGACCUGGGCUACACACGUGCUACAAUGGAUGGUACAAAGGGCUGCCAAACCGCGAGGUUGAGCGAAUCCCAUAAAACCAUUCUCAGUUCGGAUUGCAGGCUGCAACUCCG